This 611-nucleotide small RNA is filed under the name Pongo abelii (Sumatran orangutan). Its description in RNAcentral is "processed transcript". The record is from RNAcentral. Lineage: Eukaryota; Metazoa; Chordata; Mammalia; Primates; Hominidae.
GGCGUUGCUGCUUUUGUUCCUGCUCGGCCCCAGCUUGGUCCUCGCCAUCUCCUUCCAUCUGCCCAUUAACUCUCGCAAGUGCCUCCGUGAGGAGAUCCACAAGGACCUGCUAGUGACUGGCGCGUACGAGAUCUCCGACCAGUCUGGGGGCGCUGGCGGCCUGCGCAGCCACCUCAAGGUGCGGCAUUGGGCGAUGUGGGGCCGGGAGGGAAGACGGCAGGCUUAGGCGAGGGGAGGCUUGGGUUCGGGGGAGUCGAGCCGGCGGAGGCCUGGGAGUUGUUCUGGCCUCUCGGGAGCGCAAAGGACGUGCGGUGGAGCCCGCCCCCUCACCCCGCUGGUCGCCUUUCGCGGGGCGGGGCGGGGCACCAACGCCUGGGAACCCCAAGAAGGGCUGCGAGGCUUUGGCGGAUGUGGUGACACCUGAGCUGGGCGGUUGUCAACGUCCUAUACCAGUUUUGGUCUCAGAUACAUUGAACCGUAAUUUGGUUCUCCAAAUAAGUGUUGGGAUGUUGAAUAUUUAUGGGGAUUGGCACCAUAAGAUACCGCGAUACCUGCAGGAAAGUAAAGGAGACAAAGCUAACUGUGAUUAAUAAAAUGUUAUUUAUUGAGCA